RNAcentral lists this ribosomal RNA (756 nucleotides) under Triticum aestivum (bread wheat). RNAcentral's name for it is "partial small subunit ribosomal RNA". The record is from RNAcentral. Lineage: Eukaryota; Viridiplantae; Streptophyta; Magnoliopsida; Poales; Poaceae.
AUGAGUGUUUUCAAGCUCCCUGCCUCGGUAUGUGACGAAUUGACUCGUAUGAUACGUCAAUACUGGUGGGGAGUGGAGAACGGGAAGAAAAAGAUGGCCUGGAUGAGCUGGGACAAACUGAGGCUCCCUAAAUCCAUGGGUGGCAUGGGGUUUAGGGACAUGAGGUCUUUUAACCAAGCCUUGUUAGCAAAACAAGUGUGGCGAUUACUGGAUAUGCCGGAGAGCCUUUGUGCACGACUACUAAAGGCAAAAUAUUACCCUUCUGGACAUUUGUUGGAUACGGUAUUCUCGGGCAAUGGUUUUUCAGUUUGGAAAAGUAUUUUGCAUGGUCUCGAGUUGCUCAAGAAAGGUGUCAUUUGGAGGGUGGGGAACGGCGCUGAUAUCGGCACUUGGAGGGAUCCUUGGAUCCCCCGUCCAUCGACGUUUCGCCCUAUCUCACCGAAGGGCAAUUGCUGCUUGAACCGGGUGGCUGAUUUUCUUGAUGAAAACGGUGCUUGGCGUGUGGAUCGCCUUCGUGAGUUUUUUUGGCCUAUGGACGUGGAGUACAUAGUAAAAAUCAGAGCAUCGCCCCGUCAGCGUGGUGAUUUCUUGUCCUGGUUCCCGGAGAAAUGCGGAGUAUUCACGGUGAGGAGUGCUUACAAGCUAGCCACAUGUGAUCACAAUGUGUCCUUUGCAAAUGGAUCUUCCAGCUCAAACCCAGAGGGGAAUCGUUCACUAUGGAACCGAGUUUGGUUGGCCAAUGUGCCUCAAAAGAUG